This 465-nucleotide ribosomal RNA is filed under the name Vreelandella stevensii. Its description in RNAcentral is "partial 16S ribosomal RNA". It matches the Rfam family "Bacterial small subunit ribosomal RNA", at positions 338 to 795 of the family's 1533-position model. Lineage: Bacteria; Pseudomonadati; Pseudomonadota; Gammaproteobacteria; Oceanospirillales; Halomonadaceae. The record is from RNAcentral.
CCUACGGGUGGCAGCAGUGGGGAAUAUUGGACAAUGGGCGAAAGCCUGAUCCAGCCAUGCCGCGUGUGUGAAGAAGGCCUUCGGGUUGUAAAGCACUUUCAGUGGGGAAGAAAGUCUUGGGGCUAAUACCCUCGAGGAAGGACAUCACCCACAGAAGAAGCACCGGCUAACUCCGUGCCAGCAGCCGCGGUAAUACGGAGGGUGCGAGCGUUAAUCGGAAUUACUGGGCGUAAAGCGCGCGUAGGCGGUCUGAUAAGCCGGUUGUGAAAGCCCCGGGCUCAACCUGGGAACGGCAUCCGGAACUGUCAGGCUAGAGUGCAGGAGAGGAAGGUAGAAUUCCCGGUGUAGCGGUGAAAUGCGUAGAGAUCGGGAGGAAUACCAGUGGCGAAGGCGGCCUUCUGGACUGACACUGACGCUGAGGUGCGAAAGCGUGGGUAGCAAACAGGAUUAGAUACCCCGGUAGUC